GACGAACGCUGGCGGCGUGCUUAACACAUGCAAGUCGAACGGAAAGGCCCUGCUUUCGUGGGGUGCUCGAGUGGCGAACGGGUGAGUAACACGUGAGUAACCUGCCCUUGACUUUGGGAUAACUUCAGGAAACUGGGGCUAAUACCGGAUAGGAGCUCCUGCUGCAUGGUGGGGGUUGGAAAGUUUCGGCGGUUGGGGACGGACUCGCGGCUUAUCAGCUUGUUGGUGGGGGAGUGGCUUACCAAGGCAUUGACGGGUAGCCGGCCUGGGAGGGUGACCGGCCACAUGGGGACUGAGAUACGGCCCAGACUCCUACGGGGGGCAGCAGUGGGAAAUAUUGCACAAUGGGCGGAAGCCUGAGGCAGCAACGCCGCGUGCGGGAUGACGGCCUUGGGGUUGUAAACCGCUUUCGCCUGUGACGAAGCGUGAGUGACGGUAAUGGGUAAAGAAGCACCGGCUAACUACGUG
Molecule: ribosomal RNA, 468 nt
Filed under: uncultured bacterium
Lineage: Bacteria
Description: partial 16S ribosomal RNA
Rfam family: Bacterial small subunit ribosomal RNA
Source: RNAcentral